GAUGUCGAUGAGUGUGCCGAUCAGCCAACCCCGUGCCCCCAAAACAUGGACUGCCUCAACACACCUGGGUCAUUUAUGUGCACAGACCUGGACCUGUCCUCCCUGUCUGCAGUCUCAGUAAUCUCUGCUGUAAUAGCUGUGGUUGGUGGUGUGGCCAUCAUGUUCGUGAUACUGGCCUGUUGUAGAAGGUAUUUUCCAAAGAAGCCAGAACCGAUAAACAGAACCGAUAAACAGAACCGAUAAACAGUGGUUUCUGUAAGAGGGACAGAUAACCAAGCGACACCUCUGGAAAUAUAGUCCUUACAUAUUUUAUUACAUUUUAGUAUUUUGUUUUAAAAAUGUGACAUAUAUCCUAAAAGUAUGCACUUGAAUGUGUUGAUAUUAAAACGUAACUUCAGAUUAUUUGUUAGAUAAUAACCUGAAAAUAAGAAAUAACUGAAUUGUAACCUCAUUUUAGACCACAGUCACAUUAUAUAUAAAACCUCAAAGGUC
Molecule: long non-coding RNA, 492 nt
Organism: Salvelinus sp. IW2-2015
Lineage: Eukaryota; Metazoa; Chordata; Actinopteri; Salmoniformes; Salmonidae
Exons: 3
Source: RefSeq, a predicted model, not a curated record